Molecule: long non-coding RNA, 306 nt
Filed under: Zea mays
Lineage: Eukaryota; Viridiplantae; Streptophyta; Magnoliopsida; Poales; Poaceae
Description: drought-responsive long non-coding RNA
Source: RNAcentral
AUGGCAGUUCGAUCACAUAUAUAUAUAUAUAUAACCGUGACGAAGAGCACUGCAGCAGCAAAACAUGCUGGAUCGCGUGGUGGUGAAUUCGUGCGUACGUGUCUCGAUACUCCCCUGGACGACGGGCGGCCACCCAGACCGCCACCCUGCGGAACAGCAGCAAGGAAGGCCCUGCGGGGGCGACCGCGAGGCGAGCAAUCUCAUCUCAUUAUUCUCAUGUGUUCUCAGUUCGCCCCCGCCGGAACUGCCUUGCAUCGCGCUUGUUGCCGUCGCCGAUCAUCUUCCAGGCAUGGGCUAGCCGGCUAG